Molecule: small RNA, 691 nt
Filed under: uncultured fungus
Lineage: Eukaryota; Fungi
Description: eukaryotic LSU rRNA
Rfam family: 5.8S ribosomal RNA (bases 209-362)
Source: RNAcentral
AGUGUACAGUUCGAGUGACUGCGAGAUCAUACGAUAAGAGUGCAGGCGUCCUACUUUCAAGUCGGCACGCCAAGUGCUUCACACAAUCCAUCUCACCCAUUUGUGCAUCACCGCGUGAGUCCCCCUUUGCGGGGAGGGCUUGCGUUUUCCACAUAAAACUUUGAUACAGUGUAGAAUGUUUAUUUUUGCGGUCACACGCAAUCAAUACAACUUUCAACAACGGAUCUCUUGGCUCUCGCAUCGAUGAAGAACGCAGCGAAAUGCGAUACGUAAUGUGAAUUGCAGAAUUCAGUGAAUCAUCGAAUCUUUGAACGCACCUUGCGCCCCUUGGCAUUCCGAGGGGCACACCCGUUUGAGUGUCGUGAAAUCCUCAAAACCCUUUUCUUUUGAUUCUUUUAUGGUCAGGGAAAAGGAUUUUUGGACUUGGAGGUUCAAUGCUUGCUUUCACUUUUGAAAGUGAGCUCCUCUCAAAUGAAUUAGUGGGGUCUGCUUGCUGAUCCUUGACGUGAUAAGAUGCUUCUACGUUUUGGAUUUGGCACUGUACCUUGGACGUCCGCUUCUAACUGUCUCAUGGACAGCGAUGGUGCUUUGGUCACCGCACAUCUCAUAUUGGCGGGAGGCUGGACCCACAAAAACCUUGACCUCAAAUCGGGUGAGACUACCCGCUGAACUUAAGCAUAUCAAUAAGCGG